CCUACGGGUGGCAGCAGUGAGGAAUAUUGGUCAAUGGCCGGAAGGCUGAACCAGCCAAGCCGCGUGAGGGAAGAAGGAUCUAUGGUUUGUAAACUUCUUUUAUAGGGGAAUAAAGGUAUCGACGUGUGGAUAUUUGCAUGUACCCGAUGAAUAAGCAUCGGCUAACUCCGUGCCAGCAGCCGCGGUAAUACGGAGGAUGCGAGCGUUUUCCGGAUUUAUUGGGUUUAACGGGUGCGUAGGCGGUUUUUUAAGUCAGCGGGGAAAGUUUGUGGCUCAACCCAAACAUUGCCGUUGAAACUGGAAGUCUUGAGUGUGGUAGAGGUAGGCGGAAUGCGCGGUGUAGCGGUGAAAUGCAUAGAUAUCGCGCAGAACUCCGAUUGCGAAGGCAGCUUGCUGGGUCCUAACUGACGCUGAGGCACGAAAGCGUGGGGAUCAAACAGGAUUAGAUACCCCAGUAGUC
This 460-nucleotide ribosomal RNA is filed under the name uncultured bacterium. RNAcentral's name for it is "partial 16S ribosomal RNA". It matches the Rfam family "Bacterial small subunit ribosomal RNA", at positions 338 to 795 of the family's 1533-position model. The record is from RNAcentral.